CCUACGGGAGGCUGCAGUGGGGAAUAUUGCACAAUGGGGGAAACCCUGAUGCAGCGACGCCGCGUGCGUGAAGAAGUAUUUCGGUACGUAAAGCUCUAUCAGCAGGGAAGAAAAAAAGUCCUUUGGACUUUGGACGGUACCUGACCAAGCAGCCCCGGCUAACUACGUGCCAGCAGCCGCGGUAAUACGUAGGGGGCAAGCGUUAUCCGGAUUUACUGGGUGUAAAGGGAGCGUAGACGGCCGCGCAAGUCUGGAGUGAAAUGCCGGGGCCCAACCCCGGAACUGCUUUGGAAACUGUGCAGCUGGAGUGCAGGAGAGGUAGGCGGAAUGCAUAGUGUAGCGGUGAAAUGCGUAGAUAUUAGGCGGAACACCAGUGGCGAAGGCGGCUUACUGGACUGUAACUGACGUUGAGGCUCGAAAGCGUGGGGAGCAAACAGGAUUAGAUACCCUUGUAGUC
RNAcentral lists this ribosomal RNA (457 nucleotides) under uncultured bacterium. Its description in RNAcentral is "partial 16S ribosomal RNA". It matches the Rfam family "Bacterial small subunit ribosomal RNA", at positions 338 to 795 of the family's 1533-position model. The record is from RNAcentral.